This 308-nucleotide small nuclear RNA is filed under the name Erinaceus europaeus (western European hedgehog). Its description in RNAcentral is "7SK RNA". It matches the Rfam family "7SK RNA". Rfam says of the family: 7SK was discovered as an abundant small nuclear RNA in the mid-70s but a possible function has only recently been suggested. Two independent studies have found that 7SK RNA binds the CDK9/cyclin T complex (known as elongation factor P-TEFb). The record is from Rfam by way of RNAcentral. Lineage: Eukaryota; Metazoa; Chordata; Mammalia; Eulipotyphla; Erinaceidae.
GGAUGUGAGGGAGAUCUGGCUGCGACAUCUAUCGCCCCAUUGAUUGCCAUGGUUGAUCCAGUUGCUAGGCGGGUGUCCCCGUCCUCCCUCACCGCUCCAUUUUAUGUCCCUCCCAAAGCUGUGCACUUGGUGGAAGAGGACGGCCUUCCCGCAAUAGAGACAGACCAGUCUUCGGUAGAGGAUAUAUGAGUAGUUGUGCUCCCCUGCUAGAACCUCCAAACACACUCUCAAUUUCUCUCUGGUAUUAUUCAAAAUAAAUAAAUAAAUAAAUGUAAUAAAAAUAAUUUGCUAGUAGACAAGCGUAUUUU